AAGAGCAUUCUUGAGUCGAUCACUCGAGAGUCGUGUUAUCUAAACGAGCUCAAUCAAGUUCAACUGGAGUUGUGUGAAAAAUUAGAAGGAAAGAAGUUUUUGAUUGUUUUAGAUGAUGUCUUGAACAAAAAUUAUGAUGAUUGGAACACCCUGCGUUCUCCACUUAUGUAUGGAGCUCCAGGAAGGAGAGUCAUCGUGACAACACGUGAUGAAGAUAUUGCACGGAUGAUGAAAAUAAUUCAAUAUCACACUUUGAAUUGUAUUUCAGAUGAGGAUUGCUGGAAAUUGUUUCUUGACCAUGCUUUUGAUUGUGGAAGUGUUGCAGAUCCAAAAGUGGAAGUCAUCCGUGAAAAGGUCAUAAACAAGUGCGGAUACACCUCAAAUAUGUAUCAUGUCUCUUUCACGCAAUGGGCUCACCAUCAUGGCUGCACCAUCUAUUGUUUCAAACUUAUCAUGUAGGAAAGGGAUGGGGCAUCAGGAGUAUAUUGUUAUAGCAGGAAUGGUAUAUUCAAGGCAUACAUAUUCAUAUAAUAUAAGAAAGGAAAAAAAUAAAUAUGAAAUUUAUAUGAUUUGAUGGUAAGUUUUAUGUCUAUAGACAAUAUAAGAGAAA
This 610-nucleotide unclassified non-coding RNA is filed under the name Hevea brasiliensis (rubber tree). Lineage: Eukaryota; Viridiplantae; Streptophyta; Magnoliopsida; Malpighiales; Euphorbiaceae. The record is from RNAcentral.